Molecule: non-coding RNA, 363 nt
Organism: Cherax quadricarinatus
Lineage: Eukaryota; Metazoa; Arthropoda; Malacostraca; Decapoda; Parastacidae
Source: RefSeq, a predicted model, not a curated record
AAGUGAAUACAGCAGUGGAUGAAUGAAAUAAGGUUUACUGAUAUGUAUGGAGAUGGACAUUGAAACCAAUGAUUGAGAUCAGGUACACCCACAGCCAGUAGGAGAAGAUCUGAGUCAUGACCAAGGUAAAAUAAGUAGAGAUAAUCAGGGAGGUGCUAAAGUGGAAAAAGAUUAAGUCAAGACCAAGAAUAGUAUUAAGGUCAUUAGUUGGGUGCUUGAGUAAGAGCAGGCUUAGAUCAGGACUGUGUCAAGGUAACCAGUUGGGUGCUAAAAAAAAAAAAAAUAAGACUGAAAACCUUUCAACAUUUAAUCAUUGUAAUAGAUUUAUUCAACAGAUUUUAACAUUACACAGGCCCGUGAAAA